This 383-nucleotide long non-coding RNA is filed under the name Drosophila guanche. The record is from RNAcentral. Lineage: Eukaryota; Metazoa; Arthropoda; Insecta; Diptera; Drosophilidae.
GUUUGAAUGUGUGUUACAAAAAAUAUAAACUUGCAAAAGAUUUGUGGGCUGGAAUAUGUUCCUCGAAGUGGACACGCUCUACUGGCCCUCCAGUGUUCAACAUUUCGCCUGUGAGUUUUUGCAUAUUGGACACCACAAAAUGUCAAUUCCAUUCGUUGUAUAGGUGGAGUGAGUGAGCGUAUGCCGUGUAGUGGGGGAGUUGGCACUUAGUUUAUUUGGUGGACGAUGGCGGACAAUAUAGAAAAUUGAAAUAAAGCGAAGAAAAUGCCAAUGACGUAGAUAAAUGCAAGAGUGGCAAAUUUUCGAUUGUUCGCUUGAGAGCUUUUAGUCACUCAUUGUAGUUGCCCUUUCCUUUCUAUCUAUGUGAUCUAUCUAUGUGUAUC